RNAcentral lists this small nucleolar RNA (74 nucleotides) under Dracunculus medinensis (Guinea worm). The record is from RNAcentral. Lineage: Eukaryota; Metazoa; Nematoda; Chromadorea; Rhabditida; Dracunculidae.
GAGCAGAUGAUGAUAAGUUAAAGCUGAACUUAUGUGUAGAACAUAUAAUACGAGCUUUUUAACUCUGAUGCUUG